ACGGGUGAGUAAUGUCUGGGGAUCUGCCCGAUAGAGGGGGAUAACCACUGGAAACGGUGGCUAAUACCGCAUAACGUCGCAAGACCAAAGAGGGGGACCUUCGGGCCUCUCACUAUCGGAUGAACCCAGAUGGGAUUAGCUAGUAGGCGGGGUAACGGCCCACCUAGGCGACGAUCCCUAGCUGGUCUGAGAGGAUGACCAGCCACACUGGAACUGAGACACGGUCCAGACUCCUACGGGAGGCAGCAGUGGGGAAUAUUGCACAAUGGGCGCAAGCCUGAUGCAGCCAUGCCGCGUGUAUGAAGAAGGCCUUCGGGUUGUAAAGUACUUUCAGCGGGGAGGAAGGCGAUGUGGUUAAUAACCUUGUCGAUUGACGUUACCCGCAGAAGAAGCACCGGCUAACUCCGUGCCAGCAGCCGCGGUAAUACGGAGGGUGCAAGCGUUAAUCGGAAUUACUGGGCGUAAAGCGCACGCAGGCGGUCUGUUAAGUCAGAUGUGAAAUCCCCGGGCUUAACCUGGGAACUGCAUUUGAAACUGGCAGGCUUGAGUCUCGUAGAGGGGGGUAGAAUUCCAGGUGUA
This 579-nucleotide ribosomal RNA is filed under the name uncultured bacterium. Its description in RNAcentral is "bacterial SSU rRNA". It matches the Rfam family "Bacterial small subunit ribosomal RNA", at positions 102 to 677 of the family's 1533-position model. The record is from RNAcentral.